UUUUGUCAACAUGUUCACGUGCAACUCCAGGGACCUGCUGGGCUGCUUGGCACAGGAGCACAACAUCAGCACGAGCCAGGUCAACGCGUGUCACGUGGCGGAGUCGGCCGUCAACUACAGCCUGGGCGAUGAGCAGGGCUUCUGUGGCAGCCCCUGGCCCAACUGCAACUUCCCCGAGUACUUCACCUACAGCGUGCUGCUCAGCCUGCUGGCCUGCUCCGUGUUCCUGCAGAUCAGCUGCAUCGGGAAGCUGGUGCUCAUGCUGGCCAUCGAGCUCAUCUACGUGCUCAUCGUGGAGGUGCCAGGUGUCACGCUCUUCGACAACGCCGACCUGCUGGUCACCGCCAACGCCAUAGACUUCUUCAACAACGGGACCUCCCAGUGGUGAGUUGAUGCUCCUCGGAUAGGGUCGCUCCCUGCCCUCAGCACAGAGCAGACAGGGAAGGCAGCUGGUGCCCAGGUGGGAGGGGCCUUGGUGGC
Molecule: small RNA, 480 nt
Filed under: Pan troglodytes (chimpanzee)
Lineage: Eukaryota; Metazoa; Chordata; Mammalia; Primates; Hominidae
Description: retained intron
Source: RNAcentral